Molecule: ribosomal RNA, 253 nt
Filed under: uncultured bacterium
Lineage: Bacteria
Description: partial 16S ribosomal RNA
Rfam family: Bacterial small subunit ribosomal RNA
Source: RNAcentral
UACGUAGGGUGCAAGCGUUGUCCGGAAUUAUUGGGCGUAAAGAGCUCGUAGGCGGUUUGUCGCGUCUGCUGUGAAAACUCGGGGCUUAACUCCGGGCCUGCAGUGGGUACGGGCAGACUAGAGUGCGGUAGGGGAGACUGGAAUUCCUGGUGUAGCGGUGAAAUGCGCAGAUAUCAGGAGGAACACCGGUGGCGAAGGCGGAUCUCUGGGCCGAUACUGACGCUGAGCAGCGAAAGCGUGGGGAGCGAACAGG